RNAcentral lists this ribosomal RNA (1239 nucleotides) under metagenome. RNAcentral describes it as "bacterial SSU rRNA". It matches the Rfam family "Bacterial small subunit ribosomal RNA", at positions 271 to 1498 of the family's 1533-position model. The record is from RNAcentral.
AUGUUACGAUGGUUAGCUGGUCUGAGAGGAUGAUCAGCCACACUGGAACUGACACACGGUCCAGACUCCUACGGGAGGCAGCAGUGAGGAAUUUUGCGCAAUGGGGGAAACCCUGACGCAGCAACGCCGCGUGAGUGAUGAAGGCUUUCGGGUCGUAAAGCUCUGUCAAGUGGGAAGAAACUGUCCGAUGUAAAUAUCAUCGGGUACUGACGGUACCACUGAAGGAAGCACCGGCUAACUCCGUGCCAGCAGCCGCGGUAAUACGGGGGGUGCAAGCGUUAUUCGGAAUCAUUGGGCGUAAAGGGCGCGUAGGCGGCCUCUUAAGUCAGAUGUGAAAGCCCGGGGCUUAACCCCGGAAGUGCAUUUGAAACUGAGAAGCUUGAGUAUGGGAGAGGGAAGUGGAAUUCCUGGUGUAGAGGUGAAAUUCGUAGAUAUCAGGAGGAACACCGGUGGCGAAGGCGACUUCCUGGACCAAUACUGACGCUGAGGCGCGAAGGCGUGGGUAGCAAACAGGAUUAGAUACCCUGGUAGUCCACGCAGUAAACGUUGAACACUAGGUGUAGCGGGUAUUGACCCCUGCUGUGCCGCAGUUAACGCAUUAAGUGUUCCGCCUGGGAAGUACGGCCGCAAGGUUAAAACUCAAAGGAAUUGACGGGGGCCCGCACAAGCGGUGGAGCAUGUGGUUUAAUUCGACGCAACGCGAAGAACCUUACCUGGGUUUGACAUCCCGAGAAGUCUCUUGAAAGAGAGAUGUGCCCUUCGGGGAGCUCGGAGACAGGUGCUGCAUGGCUGUCGUCAGCUCGUGUCGUGAGAUGUUGGGUUAAGUCCCGCAACGAGCGCAACCCUUAUCUUUAGUUACCAGCAUUCAGUUGGGGACUCUAAAGAUACUGCCCCGGUUAACUGGGAGGAAGGUGGGGAUGACGUCAAGUCCUCAUGGCCCUUAUACCCAGGGCUACACACGUGCUACAAUGGGCUGUACAAAGGGUCGCGAGCCCGCGAGGGUUAGCUAAUCCCAUAAAGCAGCUCUAAGUUCGGAUUGGAGUCUGCAACUCGACUCCAUGAAGCUGGAAUCGCUAGUAAUCGUGGAUCAGCACGCCACGGUAAAUACGUUCCCGGGCCUUGUACACCCCGCCCGUCACACCAUGAGAGUUGGUUGUACCAGAAGUUGUUGGACCAACCCGCAAGGGAGGUAAGCACCUAAGGUAUGGCUGAUGAUUGGGGUGAAGUCGUAACAAGGUA